AUUGAACGCUGGCGGCAGGCCUAACACAUGCAAGUCGAACGGUAACAGGAAACAGCUUGCUGUUUCGCUUACGAGUGGCGGACGGGUGAGUAAUGUCUGGGAAACUGCCUGAUGGAGGGGGAUAACUACUGGAAACGGUAGCUAAUACCGCAUAACGUCGCAAGACCAAAGAGGGGUACCUUCGGGCCUCUUUCCAUCGGAUGUGCCCAGAUGGGAUUAGCUAGUAGGUGGGGUAACGGCUCACCUAGGCGACGAUCCCUAGCUGGUCUGAGAGGAUGACCAGCCACACUGGAACUGAGACACGGUCCAGACUCCUACGGGAGGCAGCAGUGGGGAAUAUUGCACAAUGGGCGCAAGCCUGAUGCAGCCAUGCCGCGUGUAUGAAGAAGGCCUUCGGGUUGUAAAGUACUUUCAGCGGGGAUGAAGGGAGUAAAGUUAAUACCUUUGCUCAUUGACGUUACCCGCAGAAGAAGCACCGGCUAACUCCGUG
RNAcentral lists this ribosomal RNA (490 nucleotides) under uncultured bacterium. Its description in RNAcentral is "partial 16S ribosomal RNA". It matches the Rfam family "Bacterial small subunit ribosomal RNA", at positions 30 to 507 of the family's 1533-position model. The record is from RNAcentral.